Molecule: ribosomal RNA, 254 nt
Filed under: uncultured bacterium
Lineage: Bacteria
Description: partial small subunit ribosomal RNA
Rfam family: Bacterial small subunit ribosomal RNA
Source: RNAcentral
GGGACGAACGCUGGCGGCGUGCUUAACACAUGCAAGUCGAGCGGAAAGGCCCUUCGGGGUACUCGAGCGGCGAACGGGUGAGUAACACGUGAGCAAUCUGCCCUUAGCUUCGGGAUAGCUCCGGGAAACCGGAAUUAAUACCGAAUACGACCACGGCCGACAUCAGCUGUGGUGGAAAGUUUUUCGGCUAGGGAUGAGCUCGCGGCCUAUCAGCUUGUUGGUGGGGUAACGGCCUACCAAGGCGACGACGGGUA